AGAACGAACGUUAGCGGCGCGCCUAACACAUGCAAGUCGCACGAGAAAGGGCUUCGGCCCCGGUACAGUGGCGCACGGGUGAGUAACACGUAGAUAAUCUUCCCUCGGGUGGUGGAUAACUCUCCGAAAGGAGAGCUAAUACAGCAUGAGACCACGGCUUCACUGAAGCUGCGGCCAAAGCAGGCCUCUAUACAUAAGCUUGCGCCUGAGGAUGAGUCUGCGGCCCAUCAGCUAGUUGGUAGGUAAUGGCCUACCAAGGCUAAGACGGGUAGCUGGUCUGAGAGGAU
RNAcentral lists this ribosomal RNA (287 nucleotides) under uncultured soil bacterium. RNAcentral's name for it is "partial 16S ribosomal RNA". It matches the Rfam family "Bacterial small subunit ribosomal RNA", at positions 26 to 301 of the family's 1533-position model. The record is from RNAcentral.